UAGGGAAUCUUCCGCAAUGGGCGAAAGCCUGACGGAGCAACGCCGCGUGAGUGAUGAAGGGUUUCGGCUCGUAAAACUCUGUUAUUAGGGAAGAACAAAUGUGUAAGUAACUGUGCACAUCUUGACGGUACCUAAUCAGAAAGCCACGGCUAACUACGUGCCAGCAGCCGCGGUAAUACGUAGGUGGCAAGCGUUAUCCGGAAUUAUUGGGCGUAAAGCGCGCGUAGGCGGUUUCUUAAGUCUGAUGUGAAAGCCCACGGCUCAACCGUGGAGGGUCAUUGGAAACUGGGAAACUUGAGUGCAGAAGAGGAAAGUGGAAUUCCAUGUGUAGCGGUGAAAUGCGCAGUGAUAUGGAGGAAAACCAGUGGCGAAGGCGACUUUCUGGUCUGUAACUGACGCAGAUGUGCGAAAGCGUGGGGAUCAAACAGG
RNAcentral lists this ribosomal RNA (429 nucleotides) under Bacillota bacterium. RNAcentral's name for it is "Firmicutes bacterium partial 16S ribosomal RNA". It matches the Rfam family "Bacterial small subunit ribosomal RNA", at positions 355 to 776 of the family's 1533-position model. The record is from RNAcentral. Lineage: Bacteria; Bacillati; Bacillota.